This 115-nucleotide microRNA precursor is filed under the name Gossypium arboreum. RNAcentral's name for it is "MIR7502 microRNA precursor family". It matches the Rfam family "MIR7502 microRNA precursor family". The record is from Rfam by way of RNAcentral. Lineage: Eukaryota; Viridiplantae; Streptophyta; Magnoliopsida; Malvales; Malvaceae.
UAUUAAAAUUUUCAUCCAUUAGUAUUGUUAAAAAUUGACAUGGUGUGUCAUAUGUAUUUCAUGUUGACAUACAAUAAUCAUUUUUUAACAAUAAACGUAGAUAAAAUUUUUAACA